Long non-coding RNA from Phalaenopsis equestris, 851 nucleotides. RefSeq lists it as uncharacterized. The transcript has 3 exons. The record is from RefSeq and is a predicted model, not a curated record. Lineage: Eukaryota; Viridiplantae; Streptophyta; Magnoliopsida; Asparagales; Orchidaceae.
UGCUACCUUCAGGGAGGAACUUUUUCUCUAAUGUCAUGUUAUGAUUGUGGUGGUGCAGCUGCGCAUUGAGUUGCCUUCCUUUGUAGCAUUGACCUUGUUUUCAGAAUCCACCGCCUUGCCAUGGCUAAACCUUCCUGUAAACUCUUCUUCCUCCACCUCAUCUUAUGAGAAAAUGAUGUGCGAUGAGCUGUCUUUGGUCGCUUUCAAAAACCCCCAGUUUUAGCUGGAUGAUUGGGAUUAGCCUGAGUUUACAGGAUGGGAAAGUUGGCUUGUGCCUGCAUGCUAGAGUAUUUCUUGGAUCUUUUUGGUCAUCACUAAGAAAAAUGCUUUGCUCUGCUUGCAAUCAAAGAAUUAUGUCAUCUCAAUGAAGUCAGUUAUGUGCUGUGCUGCACCCCCAAUUAUGCCAUAGCAGAACCUCCUUUGUGGCUUUUCGGCUUUUCACACUGAGCUUGUUCCUUUAAUAGCAUUGAUAUUGAUUACAGAAUCUACUGCUAAGGCUUAAGCUAAACCCUCCAAUAAACUCCACCUCUUCCACCUCAUCUUUGCCCUCCAAAAUCUUGGCUUUCCAACACUGCAGAUCAUCCCAAUGGAGUUAUUUGCAGCUGUAGAAGGUAGUGCUCGAUGAUCCAGAAGGGCGACGGCAGGCUUACAGGAUUGGGAUAUUUGGCUGGUUUCUGGUUGGCAGUUAUCUUGGUUCUGUUCUGUCAUUGCUAAGGAAGAUCAGUGAUUUUGUCUUGGCCAUGGAAUCUGCUAUGGGCAGUAUUGGCUCCCCAGUUCCAUCUUCAUGCAGCUACGCACUGAUCUUGUUACCUUUAUAGUAUUGGCAUUGAUUACAGAAUCCACCGCCAUGC